UAUGCCAACAGGAAAGCCAACUGACUCAUCAGAAAUUCGCAAAUAAGUGCAUAAUUAGUUCUCAAUAAAAUAUCUCUCUCAGUUCUCAUUGCAGGAGCGGUUUCAAAUUCAAUUUUCAAAUUUGUAUAUUUAAUCAUGAGACUAGUGUUGUUUGUUUUUACUCUAUUGGUGUUUGUGUGUGGAAUACUGGCUAAUAUUAUAACUACUACAACACCAAAACCUCUAUUGAGGCCAGGAGGAAAGACUGCUUAUCGCUCUGUGGGUGGCAACUCCAGACGCAGUAGAGACGUAAAUGGUGGACAACCUGACAAAGGGCACCAAAGAGAUGAAGAGCUAAAGGAAUCAGGCAGUGAUCUCCACGGUGUGGGCUCACAAUCCAGACGGAGGGGCCGUGAUGUUAGUGGGAUGGCAUCAGUCGACCAAAUACCAAUGGGCCAAGACAAUCGAUUCUCUGAACGAGACCUUUCUCCCCACAGAUGGCUACAUCAGGGCAAGAAUGAGACGUGACAACACCAAGAGAGCUGGCCUGAAAAAGUUAUCAACGAAAUUUCAACCUAAAAAGGACCAAUCGAAGGAUAAGCUCCAUUCGACAGCAAGGUCUUUGGGACCCUUGCGAGCAAGGCGUGCGUAAAUAGUUAACAACUGGUUGGAAUAAUCACAUAUUAAAAAGUAAGAUUACAAAUGGAGAGCUUUAAAGAUAAUAAAGGAUAAUAAUAUUGAGAAAACACCGAUGAAACUGCAGAGGAAAGUUUAACGCAAAACUGCAUUACUUCGAAAUGGAAACUCAUGAAAAAUACAAGGGAACCAACUUGCAAAAAAAUUAAACAUAAGUUGUGUUUAAUAAAUAAAGUAUUUUAACACUUGA
This 865-nucleotide unclassified non-coding RNA is filed under the name Nilaparvata lugens (brown planthopper). Its description in RNAcentral is "uncharacterized LOC111063574, transcript variant X1". The record is from RNAcentral. Lineage: Eukaryota; Metazoa; Arthropoda; Insecta; Hemiptera; Delphacidae.